Molecule: long non-coding RNA, 927 nt
Organism: Sinocyclocheilus rhinocerous
Lineage: Eukaryota; Metazoa; Chordata; Actinopteri; Cypriniformes; Cyprinidae
Exons: 3
Source: RefSeq, a predicted model, not a curated record
UUGGAUAUGUCUCAGCCAGCAACAUCCAAACAGAUGAUGAGGUCUAUGAUGACAUCGGAGAUGACUGUAUCUAUGACAAUGACUGAAGACCUCACACCAUCAUCAUCUCAUCUUCUGGUGCAGCUUAUUAUUUCUGGCCCUGUUUGUGUUCUUGACUGCUGAUGUUGAGCGUAUUUAUUGUAUAGAAACAUGUAUUAGGCUGAAAUAAACAGCCUAGUACCAUCAUGAUAUCGUAGUUACCUUGCCUCAGUAAAAAUAAAUGGCAUCUUGUCCAAAUUGGCCUCCAAAUACAGUUUUCCAAGGUAUACAGUUACAAAUAUACAAAUACAAAUAUACAAAUACAGUUUACUUUCACUUUCUGUUUCCUGUCAUGUAUUUGAGAAAACAAGCUGAAUCUAAUUCUAAGACACAUUUUUGUUCCCGAGUGAAAGGCAGUAUUUUGUAACAGGUCUCAAUUUUCUCAUUUACUUAUUGUGUUUUUGUAAAUAUUACACUGCAAAAGACUGAACUGUUUUCAUCACUUGCUAAUAAUAAAUGUAUACAUUUGCACCACUUUUAAAUUCAGCAUGCUAAUUAUGUUGACUGAACAAUGUUUAUAUCUAUGUUCACUUGAUUUAUGUAGAUUUUCGUAAUUAAAAUUGUAUACAUAAAUCAAAUAAUAGUAGGGUAAGAUAUGCCCACCAGGGCAAGAUGACCAAGUUCUUCUUAAUUUUGUCAUUUCAACUCAAUAUCAGUCAAGAUUUUGUCAGUCAAAUCAGUUUUAAGGUUAUUUGAUCUAAUUUUGUGUCUGGAAAAUAGUGAUCUGUGACAUUGUAUUAUGUUGAAUAUAUCAAAGUUCCCUUAUUGAGUUGGCCUCUGGACAUUACGUAUGGGGAAAACCUUUUCCUCUGAGAUGCUGAAGCCUGGGCUGCGUUCAGCCCCGACAAA